UAAAAAUUAAAUUGAAAUGUGGUAGAAAAGAAAAGGAAAGAAAAAUGAAAUAAAAAGCCAAUUUUGACAUAAUGUGAUGUCAUUAACAUACCCCCAACCAAUCAAAAUUUGACAAGCCUUCUUAAACCACUUAAAAGAGUCAAAAUGAAGACCAAAAUCACUAAAAUUUCCAGCAGCCCUCACCUUCACAAAUGCUCACCCGUAGCUCUCAAAUCCCAUAGCCAAACUUCCAUUGAUUUUCAACCAAAGCUCACUUUCUCUCUUCUUUUCACCAUAAACCCUAAACCCCUUUCAUUAAAAGUUGUCCACUCAUCUUAGGGAAGUGUUUGGCAGCCUAGAAAGUGAAGGAAAGUGAAGUUUUGAGUGGGGAAAAAUCUGCCCUAAUCAAGGUACUGGAGACCCCGAUCGUGAGCCCAGUAGACCACAGACUGGGUGAGGCCAUCCGACAGUUCUGCUCAGUGUCCGUGUCACCUCACUACCUGCAGUGCAUCGGUAGGGCACUAGAUGCCAUUUUGUCAUCUUGUAAUUAACUUUUUAUUUUCUCAUAUGUAUUUAGGAUUUAUGUAAUGUAUUUUGAGGUUCAUGUAAAUAAUAAAGAUUUAUGGUUAUGUAUGGUAUUAAUUUGAGUAUUUAAUGGUUGUUUAUAUAUGAGAACCCUGAGAAAGGGAUGUUUUGAAAACUGAAAAGGUUGUUGAGACCUGAAAUUGACAAAUUACCGAGAUAUUGAUAUUGAGUUUUAUUGAUGA
Long non-coding RNA from Hevea brasiliensis (rubber tree), 746 nucleotides. RefSeq lists it as uncharacterized. The record is from RefSeq and is a predicted model, not a curated record. NCBI's taxonomy places the organism in Eukaryota, Viridiplantae, Streptophyta, Magnoliopsida, Malpighiales, Euphorbiaceae. The transcript is spliced from 2 exons.